UUGCCCUACGGGACGCAGCAGUGAGGGAUAUUGGGCAAUGGGGGAAACCCUGACCCAGCGACGCCGCGUGAGGGAAGACGGUCUUCGGAUUGUAAACCUCUGUCUUUGGGGACGAAAAAGGACGGUACCUGAGGAGGAAGCCACGGCUAACUACGUGCCAGCAGCCGCGGUAAUACGUAGGUGGCGAGCGUUGUCCGGAUUUACUGGGUGUAAAGGGAGCGUAGGCGGCGAUGCAAGUCAGAAGUGAAAGCCCGGGGCUCAACUCCGGGACUGCUUUUGAAACUGUGUUGCUAGAUUGCAGGAGG
RNAcentral lists this ribosomal RNA (305 nucleotides) under uncultured bacterium. RNAcentral describes it as "bacterial SSU rRNA". It matches the Rfam family "Bacterial small subunit ribosomal RNA", at positions 334 to 655 of the family's 1533-position model. The record is from RNAcentral.